ACGCCGGAGGAUUGGGAUAUGUCCUAUUAGCUAGUUGGCGGGAUAAAAGCCCACCAAGGCGAUGAUAGGUAGCUGGUCUAAGAGGAUGAACAGCCACAAUGGGAUUGAGAUACGGCCCAUAUUCCUACGGGAAGCAGCAGUAGGGAAUCUUCCACAAUGGGCGAAAGCCUGAUGGAGCAAUGCCAUGUGAAUGAUGAAGGCCAGACAGGUCGUAAAGUUCUUUUAGAGGGGAAAAAUUUGAUGGUACCCUCUGAAUAAGUGACAGCAAACUAUGUGCCAGCAGCUGCGGUAAUACAUAGGUCGCGAGCGUUAUUCGGAUUUAUUGGGCGUAAAGCAAGCGCAGACGGAUGAAUAAGUUCUGCAUUAAAAGCAGCUGCUUAACAGUUGUUUGUGCUCGAAUAC
Molecule: ribosomal RNA, 402 nt
Filed under: Candidatus Mycoplasma turicense
Lineage: Bacteria; Bacillati; Mycoplasmatota; Mollicutes; Mycoplasmatales; Mycoplasmataceae
Description: bacterial SSU rRNA
Rfam family: Bacterial small subunit ribosomal RNA
Source: RNAcentral